Molecule: ribosomal RNA, 433 nt
Filed under: uncultured bacterium
Lineage: Bacteria
Description: partial 16S ribosomal RNA
Rfam family: Bacterial small subunit ribosomal RNA
Source: RNAcentral
AACGAACGCUGGCGGCAUGCCUAACACAUGCAAGUCGAACGAGACCUCCGGGUCUAGUGGCGCACGGGUGCGUAACGCGUGGGAACCUGCCCUUAGGUUCGGAAUAAUUCCCCGACAGGGGUGCUAAUACCGGAUAAUGUCUUCGGACAAAAGAUUCAUCGCAUUUGGAUGGGCCCGCGUUGGAUUAGCUUGUUGGUAGGGUAAAAGCCUACCAAGGCGACGAUCCAUAGCUGGUCUGAGAGGAUGAUCAGCCACACUGGGACUGAGACACGGCCCAGACUCCUACGGGAGGCAGCAGUGGGUAAUAUUGGACAAUGGGCGAAAGCCUGAUCCAGCAAUGCCGCGUGAGUGAUGAAGGCCUUAGAGAUGUAAAGCUCUUUUACCCGGGAUGAUAAUGACAGUACCGGGAGAAUAAGCUCCGGCUAACUCCGUG